AAGCAGCCUCCAUGUCUCCAGUGUCUUUUCCCCCACUUGGAGCUCAACCUAGAAGGACAUUUCUUUCAUCACCUUAAAAGUGAGUUUAAAAGGUCUACGGUGGCCUCAAUGCUAAUGCUAAAGGACAGAAAACAGUGUCCUCCUCGGUCAAAGGAAGUGUAGCAGCCACCAAAAGAAAUACACAUUUUAAUGGCGUUUUAAGCUCGGCUUCAUACGAGGAAGGAAUCGCGAGAAACUUCGGGGAGGGUCUUGAGUUUAAACUUGGAAGGGAGGCCCACAAGUCAACCGUGAUGCCAGAUAUUCAACGAUUCGGUUGAUGUUUGGGGAGCAGUUUCUUCAGCGUAUCCAGCAAUUUCUGUGGGGUGAGGACAUGUGUGGAUCCUGGAAAAAGAAGAAGACGACACUCAGGUUUCAAAAAAAGGAAGAGCAGAAGAACACCAGAUCCCCCCCUAUAAAUAUGCUUUGCAGAAAUGAACAACAAUGGCCAAUUAAACCCACUGCGGGAAGAGUGACGUUCAACAUUAGAAGCGACACUAAACAAAAGCUGGAGACGUAUCACACACGCUUUUGAACACACACAAAAAUGAGAUGGCACAAGGAAGGAGACAGCAGUGGAGAAGGAAAUCCAAAAAGUUGAGUUCUUAGGCGCAGCGCAUCUCGCUCAGAGCAACCCCGCCCAGGAUGAAAACAAUGAGGCGAGGACCACUUCGGUAUUCUCCGGGAG
Thamnophis elegans (Western terrestrial garter snake) is the source of this 724-nucleotide long non-coding RNA. RefSeq lists it as uncharacterized. The transcript has 5 exons. The record is from RefSeq and is a predicted model, not a curated record. Lineage: Eukaryota; Metazoa; Chordata; Lepidosauria; Squamata; Natricidae.